CAUUACUUCUAUAAGAAAUAUAAUAGUUUGAAUAAAUUGGUAUCCAGGUUUGUCACUUAAGGAAACAUGUUUCCUGUAAUCUAGACACUUGAAGCGGGCAAGCAGCUAAAAUAAACUUAGUAUGAAGCUCUACAAUUCUCUCAUUGGUUCUGACAUACUGCAAUUCCCUCGUUGGUCCUGACAUAUUGGAUCCUUCAUCAUGCAUCCUGGGUUAAGGUGGUUAUACUUUCCAAGAAAUUUAAAAAAUCUUCUUGCUUCAGUUGCUUGUUACCUGUCAUACAAUGUGUUAUCUCAUCUCAACAAAUACUGGAGGACUAAUAGACACAGUCCUGGGCUAGUUGAAGUGGUUUCUGCAAAAAGGAAAUUCAUAAUAUUACAAAUUGCAAGCUGUCCAAAGAGAAAAAUCAGGUUAACUUGACGAUUUGACAGUUACAAUACUGGAGAAACUGGAAUUUACAAACUCAACUGGUACUAAAUAAUAAAGCAGAAUCAAGUUGUACAUCCACUUCUUUCUGUUGUGAAAAAACUUAUGCAUCAUGCAAAACACUGAAAUAACUACAGAAUUUGCACAAAUAGAAAUAGCAAGCUUGUGACACAGUAAUCAGGUUAUCCCGAUGGUGCUCAGACAUGUAAUUAGAAAAUAUUUGACUGGUGCAGACUGAAGUAACCAUCAACUAAAGUCGACCAUAGCUCCAAGAUCAAAAUGUAAUAAUCAUAAUACAAGUUUCCUUCAAGGAAAAAUUGUAACAUAUUUGCUUGUACUCUGGUAAUAGCUAUAAUCGUUCGUAAGAUAACCAAUAUGUAUUUUGACAAACUGAUGUAUAUUUUUUAUCCAUUUUUUGCGACCGGAUCGCCCAUCGAUGUAGGCAGGCAAACGCAUACAGGGACUUUGUGGCGCUGGCCUGAUAUAAUGUAAAUGUAGAGGUGCCAACUAUUAGUUACCUGGGAAAGACGAUGUGUUCAUCAGAGCCUGGACUCCUCUUUUCCCUUCUGUAGCUAAUUCAGGUUGGAAAAUUGAUGAAAAAUUCUUCAGUCAUCAUAUGCAGGAGUCACUCAAUCUGACGUAGUAGAGCAUGAGUCAUUACCUGGGAAAAAAUAGGAUGGGUGAACAAAAUAAUUAUUUCUCCUCAAUCUGACAAAGCAGAGCAUGAGUAUACCCAAAUAGUUAUAUAAUUUGCGUGCUUUUCCAUACUACCUAGAUAAUUAGAUUUCCUUGAAGGCAGAAUCCGUAAGAAAGGAAUAUGCAGAAAUUAGAAAACCAACAUAAAAGCAAACUAACAUUGUUCUAGCCUUACAAAAUCAGUUGUAUUAGUAAGAAAACCGAAACUUCUUACCCUGGUGCUUGCAGGUUUGAAUCACUCCAAGAGAUCAAUGGGCAAAUCAUGGUAGCUGCUUUGUUCUGCUGAUUGUGCCGACAUAGGGAUGGAUUGCAUCGCUAAUUUGACAGCCAAUAGCGAUGGGAGAACAUCUCUGACAAAAAACAAAUUCAUGAUGUGAUCUCUAUUCUCUGAUAGCCGGUGGAGAAAGGAGAUUGGAGAUAUAGGAAUAUAAUGAGGGGGUUGGGGGGUCCAAGGGGAAUUUAGGCCCAUCAGAUUUACUUCUAAAUACUGGCAUUGUGACUGAAAGAUCAAUUAUAUUGUUACAGAAAAACUACCGAAUGAAUGUGGAUUUCAUAGUUAGAAUUGCAAGAAAAUUUAAAUGAAUGUGCUAUAUUUUAAAAAAAUUCUAGCCUUGAACCCUUUUGCCACAGAACAAAGUAACCACAUACAUACAAAUCUAUAUAAUACUCGUACUACAGGCAGCUAGUUUAAUUUCUGUAUGUGCAACAGUUUCAAAGUCUGGCUAUGGAUCUUCAAAGAAAGGAUUAUAAGCUCUAGGAAUGAUAUUGAGAAAUCUGGAAAGAUUGUAUAACUUAAAUGUCAAUUAUACUACAUAGGAUAAAUAGUUGAAGUCUAGGCACCAUACCUCUAUUUACGCUAGAAGGCAGAAAGAUUAGAAACACCCUGCAGAUAAUCAGAGACUUAGUCUGUAUUCGCUAGAAACAGUAGAAAAUAUGCAAAUCCUAUAUCCAUACAGAAUAUCGACUUAUUUUGUUGGCUAACGCGGGGUAUGUAAUAACAUAGAAAAACAUCUGAAAGCCUCCUGCAAACUCCAAACCAAAUUGGCCAGCUGUAGCAUUUUCUUUGAAGGUCAGGUGUUUCAUUGUGUUCAUGUAGCAGCUCUGGAAUACAUGGUGUCGCUCUAGGAUGCAUAGUAAGGCUACAGCAGUCAGUAGAAGAAAAUAUGAGGAAGAUGGGCGAAGCCACACAUACCAAAGGAGCACAAGAUUGCAUGGAGGGGAAUUCAACCCAAAGCCAUCCCCAAGGUGCAGGAACGCGACGCCGUCCGGCACGUCCCCGAGACCCCAACGCCAUCUCUUGAAAAUAAACCGUGAGGGUACCUUGCAUGCCAGACUUACUUCAGAAAAGGCACUGGUUUCAAGAAUCCAAUGAACCGAUCGCCCAAGGUUGCAACAUCUGAAAAAAAUGACAGAUAAGCAAAUUCGGUCAGAGCGCAAAAGAACUAUGAAAACACAAAAUCUCUCAGUUUUGUACAGAUCAAUGGCAUAUUUAGGUGGUUUGUCAUGUUUCUAACAGAAUUCAGAUUCAACCAAAGGAGGUGUAUGACAACUGCAUUUGAUCCACUUAUUAAACUCGGCUGUACAUUCUAAAGUAUUAAAGUGGAACGUUAUGACUUGCAGAAGUGAGCUAUUGAGGCAGUAGAUAAAUUGUAUUGCUAUGGGGCAAUAUGGAUAGUAGUACAGGCAGACUUUGCACAAGUGGAAUCAUAUAUGUCUCCUCCCGCGUGUUGACCAGCUCGUCACAAAGCGGACUUGUGAUAAUAGCGGGAUCGGCUGUCUGUCAGGCCUCCAGGAACAGCAGGUUCUUCUCCUGAGCGCAGCCCUGCUUGGGUGGGUCUCAAAACCACAAAUCAGCAAGGAUUGAAGAGCAGUCUGAACCAAAAUUUCGGGGCGGCGCUCCGGUGGCGACGACGGCGGGGCCCGGUUGGAUCCGGGCGGAUCUGGCCGGGGUGGAUCCAUUUCCGGUGGAUUUGGCAUGGAGGCGGCCGGAUCCAGCGAGAUUGAAGGCCAACGACACCAUGGAGGUC
Molecule: long non-coding RNA, 3147 nt
Filed under: Triticum aestivum (bread wheat)
Lineage: Eukaryota; Viridiplantae; Streptophyta; Magnoliopsida; Poales; Poaceae
Description: long non-coding RNA (TAES_LNC025802)
Source: RNAcentral